CCGGAUCCGGGAAAGCCGGCGUGAAUCCACGAGGACCACCUCGUAAGGCUAAGUAUACGUAGCGACCGAUAGUGCAACAGUACCGUGAGGGAAAGGUGAAAAGUACCCCGGGAGGGGAGUGAAAUAGUACCUGAAACCGUUGGUUUACAAUCAGUCAAAGCGUCGUCCACUUGUGGGCCGCGAUGGCGUGCCUUUUGAAGAAUGAGCCUGCGAGUUACGGUGUGUGGCGAGGUUAACCAGUGAUGGGGAGCCGGAGCGAAAGCGAGUCUGAACAGGGCGUUCAGUCGCAUGCUGUCGACCCGAAGCCAAGUGAUCUAUCCAUGGCCAGGUUGAAGCGGGGGUAAGACCCCGUGGAGGACCGAACACACGUCAGUUGAAAAUGGCGGUGAUGAGCUGUGGAUAGGGGUGAAAGGCCAAACAAACUUGGUGAUAGCUGGUUCUCCUCGAAAUGCAUUUAGGUGCAGCGUCGUGCUGUUCAGUCUCGGAGGUAGAGCACUGGAUGGGCUAGGGGGCCUACAAGCUUACCGAACCCAGCCAAACUCCGAAUGCCGAGACUCCAGAGCGCGGCAGUGAGACCACGGGGGAUGAGCUUCGUUGGUCGAAAGGGAAACAGCCCAGACCGUCAGCUAAGGCCCCUAAUUCGGACUAAGUGGUAAACGAUGUGGGAUUGCACAG
Molecule: non-coding RNA, 675 nt
Filed under: Beta vulgaris subsp. vulgaris (sugar beet)
Lineage: Eukaryota; Viridiplantae; Streptophyta; Magnoliopsida; Caryophyllales; Amaranthaceae
Description: Bacterial large subunit ribosomal RNA
Rfam family: Bacterial large subunit ribosomal RNA
Source: Rfam by way of RNAcentral